Molecule: unclassified non-coding RNA, 379 nt
Filed under: fungal sp.
Lineage: Eukaryota; Fungi
Description: partial internal transcribed spacer region
Rfam family: Eukaryotic small subunit ribosomal RNA (bases 1-46)
Source: RNAcentral
AAGUCGUAACAAGGUUUCCGUAGGUGAACCUGCGGAAGGAUCAUUAACACGUAUCCAACGUUAAACAACCCUGUGAACUUUAAGUCCCCUCUUGCAGCCCAUGAGGAACAGCAAUCCCGGUAAAUCAUUGCCAAACAGUUUUGAUUCGGGACCUCUGUCCAAAAGGAGUUGCAAUCGAAGUGGCUUCCCCAAUGAAUGACAGUGUCACUGACUGUGUAAGGAUAACGCCUCACGGUUGCUAGAGGUCGAUCACCGACCGGCAGACAUGUCACAGGGUCACCACGCCCCUUAAUCACUCCACUUGAAAAUGCCCCGCCUAGUGGUAACGCGCUAGGUAAAAAAAACCGAACAACUGUUAACAAUGGAUAUCUUGGUUCUC